CAAAGAAGAAAGAGAAAAACUUUAUUGUUAUGCACCCACCCAUUGUAUUUAAGCAGCAAGGCCUGACCGGAAGUCCAUUUUUCUCCUUCCGUUUCAUACUCGACAAAAUCUGCGUUAGGUGACGAUGAGUUUCUGAAGAUCUGACUCCCCUAACAACCUGAAUUCAUAGAUCAUCUUCCUCCGAUCGCGUGAAAAACAUGGCCAAGGAUGUCGAAGUUAACGGAUUCAACCCAGGAUUGAUUGUCUUACUUCUUAUUGGUGGGCUUGUGCUGACGUUCCUUAUUGGGAACUAUGUCCUUUAUGUGUAUGCCCAGAAAACCCUUCCUCCAAAAAAAAAGAAGCCGAUCUCCAAGAAGAAGAUGAAGAAGGAAAGACUGAAGCAAGGUGUUUCAGCACCCGGAGAGUAGAUGUUAAUACACUGGAGGACAAGAACGUGUCUGAAUUCAUGUCCAUCAGCUCUAAAAUCAGAUGAUUGUAAUUCUUAAGGUUACAUUUUCUUGUCAAAACAGAUAGAACAUCAAAAACUGUUUUUGCUGCCUUUAUUUGUGCUACUGACUGAGAAAUUUUCAUAGAAGCUACUGAUUUUCCUUUUUUCCUUCUAGAAUAA
This is a long non-coding RNA of Solanum tuberosum (potato), 607 nucleotides long. RefSeq lists it as uncharacterized. Lineage: Eukaryota; Viridiplantae; Streptophyta; Magnoliopsida; Solanales; Solanaceae. The record is from RefSeq and is a predicted model, not a curated record. The transcript is spliced from 2 exons.